GGCGCUGUGGCUCAGUGGUUAAAACGCCUGUCUUGUAAACAGGAGAUCUUGGAUUCAAACCCCAACAGUGCCU
This is a non-coding RNA of Sebastes umbrosus (honeycomb rockfish), 73 nucleotides long. Lineage: Eukaryota; Metazoa; Chordata; Actinopteri; Perciformes; Sebastidae. The record is from the annotation of a RefSeq genome assembly.